GAUCAUGGCUCAGGAUGAACGCUAGCUACAGGCUUAACACAUGCAAGUCGAGGGCAGCACAGUGUAGCAAUACAUGGGCGGCGACCGGCGCACGGGUGCGUAACGCGUAUCCCAACCUUCCCGUUACUCUUGGAUAGCCUUCCGAAAGGGAGAUUAAUACAAGAUGGUAUUCAAAUUCCGCAUGUUAUUUGAACUAAAGAUUUAUCGGUAACGGAUGGGGAUGCGUGACAUUAGGUAGAUGGCGGGGUAACGGCCCACCAUGCCCACGAUGUCUAGGGGUUCUGAGAGGAAGGUCCCCCACACUGGAACUGAGACACGGUCCAGACUCCUACGGGAGGCAGCAGUGAGGAAUAUUGGUCAAUGGCCGGAAGGCUGAACCAGCCAAGUAGCGUGAAGGAUGAAGGUUCUAUGGAUUGUAAACUUCUUUUAUACGGGAAUAAAACCUCCCACGUGUGGGAGCUUGUAUGUACCGUAUGAAUAAGCAUCGGCUAACUCCGUG
This 499-nucleotide ribosomal RNA is filed under the name uncultured bacterium. RNAcentral describes it as "bacterial SSU rRNA". It matches the Rfam family "Bacterial small subunit ribosomal RNA", at positions 15 to 507 of the family's 1533-position model. The record is from RNAcentral.